AAAGCUCGACUUGUCGCUAAGGGUUAUCGACAAGUUCAAGGGAUUGACUACGACGAGACAUUCUCUCCCGUAGCGAAGCUUAAGUCCGUCCGAAUCAUGUUAGCAAUUGCCGCAUACUAUGAUUAUGAGAUAUGGCAGAUGGACGUCAAAACGGCAUUCCUUAAUGGGCAUCUUAAGGAAGAGCUGUAUAUGAUGCAGCCGGAAGGUUUUGUCGAUCCUGAGAACGCUAACAAAGUAUGCAAGCUCCAGCGAUCCAUUUAUGGGCUGGUGCAAGCAUCUCGGAGUUGGAAUAUUCGCUUUGAUGAGAUGAUCAAAGCGUUUGGGUUUAUGCAGACUUAUGGAGAAGCCUGCGUUUACAAGAAAGUGAGUGGGAGCUCUGUAGCAUUUCUCAUAUUAUAUGUG
This 402-nucleotide ribosomal RNA is filed under the name Triticum aestivum (bread wheat). RNAcentral's name for it is "partial small subunit ribosomal RNA". The record is from RNAcentral. Lineage: Eukaryota; Viridiplantae; Streptophyta; Magnoliopsida; Poales; Poaceae.